ACUAAACAGGUCACCUACUGGUAUUUUGUGCAUGGGAUUUGUAAGGAAGGAGAUAACUGUUGUUACUUGCACUCCCUCUCUGACAGUCCACAUGGUGUAGUGGGCACGUAUUUUCAGCGAGGGUGCUGUAUUUAUGGAGGCCGCUGCAGAUGUGAACUCAGCAAGCCACUGAAACGGAAAGAAGCAACUGCUACAGAUCUGACUACAAAAUCAUCCCUUGCUGCUUCCUCAAGUCUCUCGUUCAUAGUUGGACCGCUUGUUGAAACGAAUACAGGCAAAGCUGAGUCCAAUUCAAACUUGGCAACUGUAGGAGCGUGUUCAGAGGACUGGUGGAUGCUGUUGAGUUUGUUCCCAGGCAACUCUACUGCAGCCAUGCUGCCUCUUUCUGCAGUGACCAAGGGAGAAUCAGAGAAAGAGCAAAUAGCUGUGAUAACAAAGAAGCCGCUUUGCCCCUAGGCUGCAGUGGGAGAGAUGGAAAUGGGUAGAACUGUGUGUGUCUCCACAGAGAGUCAUGUGAUCAUGUAAGCUGCAGGUCCUACCUCCAAUGGAUGCUGCCCAGAGACCACAGCAUGUGAAAAUCUUGCCCUGAGGCCCAUGAGAAGGAAACAGAGCUCUCACUGGCUAUGCAGUGCAGCAAGGAUACGAUGUGUGGGAUCUGCAUGAAGGUGGCCUGUGAGAAAGCCAGCACCGGUGAGCGUGGCUUUGGGAUCCUCUCCAGCUGCAGCCACACCUACUGUCUCAAGUGUAUUCACAAGUGGAAGGGCACUAAGCUAUUUGAGAGCAAGAUCAUAGUGUCCUACCCAGAAUGCCGGGUCACAUCUAACUUUGUCAUUCCCAGUGAGUACCGGGUGGGAGAAAUAAGAGAAGCAGAAACGAUUUUGAUGAAGGAUGGGGGAGCUGCCUAUCUUGGGGGAUGUGUUUUUACAAGCAGGUAUUCCCUGAUGGCCAUAGAAAGGAUAGAGACAGGCAAGCAGAUACUGGGCCCAGUGAAGGAACCACUUCUAGGAGUUCAUUGAGGAAAGAGAGAACAAUGACCCCUUUGACAACAAUGAAGAAGAGGUUGUCACCUUUGAGCUGGGUGAGAUGUUGCUUAUGCUCGUGGCAGAUGGGGACGAUGAACUGACAGACUUUGAAAAUGAGUGGGACUUGUUCCAUGUUGAUUUGGAAGAUUUUUAUGACUUGGCUCAAUAGCCACCUCGCGUGGCAUGUGGACUGGCCUGCUGACCUCAGCAGCAGUCCCCUGUGGCAGUGUGACAGUGUCCGUGUUUGCUGUCUUAAUUUUUACCCAGGGCCUGUCUUCUCAAUCUGUGACCUUUCCCCAAGAAGUGUGUUACUUUCUCUGUGGAAAAAAGAUUCAAAAAUAAAUCCUGAAGUUAGUGUUUUGUAA
This is a non-coding RNA of Chlorocebus sabaeus (green monkey), 1387 nucleotides long. Lineage: Eukaryota; Metazoa; Chordata; Mammalia; Primates; Cercopithecidae. The record is from RefSeq and is a predicted model, not a curated record.